GAUGAAGAACGUAGUGAAAUGCGAUACGUAAUGUGAAUUGCAGAAUUCAGUGAAUCAUCGAGUCUUUGAACGCACAUUGCGCCCCCUGGCAUUCCGGGGGGCAUGCCUGUUCGAGCGUCUCCAGGACGAAUCCUCGCGCGAGUGAACGCGCGGUCGUGGCGGAGGUGGCGUGCCCGAGCAGGGCGGCCACCGCGCUGGAAUCCAUGGGCGGACGCCUGCCGCGUGGCCGAGCGUGAUAUGACGCAUUGGCGCUCGUGCGCGGCGAGGCUGCCAGCCCUGGCCCGUCUGUCGGGCGGGGUAGAUCAACACGUGGGAACUCCUCGAAUCAGGUAGGGAUACCCGCUGAACUUAAGCAUAUCAAUAAGCGGAGGA
RNAcentral lists this unclassified non-coding RNA (372 nucleotides) under soil metagenome. RNAcentral's name for it is "partial contains 5.8S ribosomal RNA, internal transcribed spacer 2, and large subunit ribosomal RNA". The stretch from base 1 to 120 matches the Rfam family "5.8S ribosomal RNA", at positions 35 to 154 of the family's 154-position model. The record is from RNAcentral.